This 336-nucleotide unclassified non-coding RNA is filed under the name soil metagenome. Its description in RNAcentral is "partial contains 5.8S ribosomal RNA, internal transcribed spacer 2, and large subunit ribosomal RNA". The stretch from base 1 to 120 matches the Rfam family "5.8S ribosomal RNA", at positions 35 to 154 of the family's 154-position model. The record is from RNAcentral.
GAUGAAGAACGCAGUGAAAUGCGAUAAGUAGUGUGAAUUGCAGAAUUCAGUGAAUCAUCGAAUCUUUGAACGCACAUUGCGCCCGCCAGUAUUCUGGCGGGCAUGCCUGUUCGAGCGUCAUUUCAACCAUCAAGCCCCAGGCUUGUGUUGGGGACCUGCGGCUGCCGCAGGCCCUGAAAACCAGUGGCGGGCUCGCUGUCACACCGGGCGUAGUAGAUUUUAUCUCGCUCAGGGCGUGCUGCGGGUUCCGGCCGUUAAAAAGCCUUUUUUACCCAAGGUUGACCUCGGAUCAGGUAGGAAGACCCGCUGAACUUAAGCAUAUCAAUAAGCGGAGGA